GACGAACGCUGGCGGCGUGCUUAACACAUGCAAGUCGAACGGAAAGGCCCUGCUUUUGUGGGGUGCUCGAGUGGCGAACGGGUGAGUAACACGUGAGUAACCUGCCCUUGACUUUGGGAUAACUUCAGGAAACUGGGGCUAAUACCGGAUAGGAGCUCCUGCUGCAUGGUGGGGGUUGGAAAGUUUCGGCGGUUGGGGAUGGACUCGCGGCUUAUCAGCUGGUUGGUGGGGUAGUGGCUUACCAAGGCUUUGACGGGUGGCCGGCCUGAGAGGGUGAACGGCCACAUGGGGACUGAGAUACGGCCCAGACUCCUACGGGAGGCAGCAGUGGGGAAUAUUGCACAAUGGGCGGAAGCCUGUUGCAGCAACGCCGCGUGCGGGAUGACGGCCUUCGGGUUGUAAACCGCUUUCGCCUGUGACGAAGCGUGAGUGACGGUAAUGGGUAAAGAAGCACCGGCUAACUACGUG
RNAcentral lists this ribosomal RNA (468 nucleotides) under uncultured bacterium. Its description in RNAcentral is "partial 16S ribosomal RNA". It matches the Rfam family "Bacterial small subunit ribosomal RNA", at positions 28 to 507 of the family's 1533-position model. The record is from RNAcentral.